This 1462-nucleotide ribosomal RNA is filed under the name metagenome. RNAcentral describes it as "bacterial LSU rRNA". It matches the Rfam family "Bacterial large subunit ribosomal RNA", at positions 1439 to 2925 of the family's 2925-position model. The record is from RNAcentral.
CUGUACUAUCCUGUAACAGAACUGUGGGGACACAGGCAGAGAGCGUGAGCCGGGAAUGGAAAGACCGGUACAAGCGAGGUAGGAGAAGAGUUGGCAAAUCCGCUCUUUAAUCUGAAGACGUGAUGUGGACUGAAAAUAAGUAGGGAAGCACGUGAGCUGACUGUCAAGAAAAGCCGCUAUUGUUUGCAGGAUACUCGUACCGUAAACCGACACAGGUGGAUGAGGAGAGAAUCCUAAGGCCGACGGGAGAAGCAUUGUUAAGGAACUCGGCAAAAUGACUCCGUAACUUCGGGAGAAGGAGUGCCAGUAAGAUGGCCGCAGAGAAUUGGCCCAAGCAACUGUUUAGCAGAAACACAGGUCUAUGCAAAACCGAAAGGUGAGGUAUAUGGGCUGACGCCUGCCCGGUGCUGGAAGGUUAAGGGGAGAGGUUAGCGCAAGCGAAGCUUUGAACUUAAGCCCCAGUAAACGGCGGCCGUAACUAUAACGGUCCUAAGGUAGCGAAAUUCCUUGUCGGGUAAGUUCCGACCCGCACGAAAGGCGUAAUGAUUUGGGCACUGUCUCAACAAUGCACCCGGUGAAAUUGAAAUACCAGUGAAGAUGCUGGUUACCUGCGCCAGGACGGAAAGACCCCAUGGAGCUUUACUCCAGCUUGAUACUGGGAUUCGGUAUUGCAUGUACAGGAUAGGUGGGAGGCUAGGAAAUGGUAACGCCAGUUGCCAUGGAGCCAAUGUUGGGAUACCACCCUUGCAGUACUGGGUUUCUAACCAGCAGCCGUGAUCCGGCUGGGGGACAAUGUCAGGUGGGGAGUUUGACUGGGGCGGUCGCCUCCGAAAGGGUAUCGGAGGCGCUCAAAGGUUCCCUCAGAAUGGUUGGAAACCAUUCGAAGAGUGCAAAGGCAGAAGGGAGCUUGACUGCGACACCGACGGGUGGAGCAGGUACGAAAGUAGGACUUAGUGAUCCGGUGGUAUAAAGUGGGAUUGCCAUCGCUCAACGGAUAAAAGCUACCCUGGGAUAACAGGCUUAUCACUCCCAAGAGUUCACAUCGACGGAGUGGUUUGGCACCUCGAUGUCGGCUCAUCGCAUCCUGGGGCUGAAGUAGGUCCCAAGGGUUGGGCUGUUCGCCCAUUAAAGCGGUACGCGAGCUGGGUUCAGAACGUCGUGAGACAGUUCGGUCCCUAUCCGGCGUGGGCGUAAGAUAUUUGAGAGGAGCUGUCCUUAGUACGAGAGGACCGGGAUGGACUGGCCGCUGGUGUAUCUGUUGUCUUACCAAAGGCAUAGCAGAGUAGCCAAGCCGGGAAGGGAUAAACGCUGAAGGCAUCUAAGCGUGAAGCCCCCCUCAAGAUGAGAUAUCUCAUAACGUCAAGUUAGUAAGACCCCUUGAAGACGACGAGGUAGAUAGGGCAGAGGUGGAAGUGUGGUAACACAUGGAGCUGACUGUUACUAAUAGGUCGAGGGCAUAACU